RNAcentral lists this ribosomal RNA (417 nucleotides) under uncultured Bacteroidota bacterium. RNAcentral's name for it is "bacterial SSU rRNA". It matches the Rfam family "Bacterial small subunit ribosomal RNA", at positions 608 to 1029 of the family's 1533-position model. Lineage: Bacteria; Pseudomonadati; Bacteroidota. The record is from RNAcentral.
CUUAACGGUAAAAUGGCCUCCGAUACUGCAGGUCUUGAAUCCAGUAGAGGUUGGUGGAAUUCGUGGUGUAGCGGUGAAAUGCAUAGAUAUCACGAAGAACAUCAGUGGCGAAGGCGGCCGACUGGGCUGGAAUUGACGCUGAGGCACGAGAGCGUGGGGAGCGAACAGGAUUAGAUACCCUGGUAGUCCACGCUGUAAACGAUGUGUGCUAGUUGUGGGCCCCAAAGGGUCUGUGACGCAGUUAACGCAGUAAGCACACCACCUGGGGAGUACGUUCGCAAGAAUGAAACUCAAAGGAAUUGACGGGGGCCCGCACAAGCGGUGGAGCAUGUGGCUUAAUUCGAUGCAACGCGAAGAACCUUACCUGGGCUAAAUCUCAGCCGACCGGUCCUGAAAGGGGCCUUCCCUUCGGGGCGG